Caenorhabditis elegans is the source of this 21-nucleotide non-coding RNA. Lineage: Eukaryota; Metazoa; Nematoda; Chromadorea; Rhabditida; Rhabditidae. The record is from Ensembl.
UUCUUCGGUUUUGAAAUUUUC